AGACUUGUUUUAUUGCCCUGAAUAUAAUCUAUCAUGGUAAAUGUUCUAUAUGCAAAAUAAUUACACUGAAGGAAAGGUGCCAGUUACUUAUAUAAAAUCUUAGAAAAUGCAAAUGAAUUUAUAGUGACAGAGGUGGAUUGGUGGUUGCCUGUGGGGGGCGGGGCCGACGGGAGCAGAAGGGAGGGGUGCAGAGGGGCACGUGGAAACUUUGGGCGACGAGUCUGUUCACUGUCUCGAGGGCAGUGAUGGUCUCACAGGUAUAAACGUGUGUCGAAACAUACCAAGUUGUACUUUAAACGUGUGCAGCUCAUUGCAUGUCAGUUAUACCUCAUAAGCUGUUUUUAAAAGCGGUGAUGUUUAGGGGCCAGCCUGGUGGCACAGAGGUUAAGUUUCACGCUCUACUUUGGCGGCCUGGGGUUUGCCAGUUCGGAUCUUGGGUGCGGACCUACGCACCACUUGGCGCGCCAUGCUGUGGCAGGCGUCCCACAAAUAAAGUAGAGGAAGAUGGGCAUGGAUGUUAGCUCAGGGCCAGUCUUCCUCAGCAAAAAGAGGAGGAUUGGCAGCAGAUGUUAGCUCAGGCCGCGCGGGGAUCACUGGCGCCGCAGCGGAGCCGCCCCGAGGCCUCGCCCGGGGGAGGAGCCUGCGGACGCCCCUCCACGCGGAGCGCGCCAGGU
Molecule: long non-coding RNA, 674 nt
Filed under: Equus caballus (horse)
Lineage: Eukaryota; Metazoa; Chordata; Mammalia; Perissodactyla; Equidae
Description: lncRNA (ENSECAG00000043874.1)
Source: RNAcentral